AAAGGACCACAAAAUAUAAAGCGAUUAUAAUAUUUUCUGUAUAAGCAUUCGAAAUUUCUCCGGGAACAUAGCAAAAUCUCCGCAAAUGCACUCCAUUCUUGCUUGCAAUUUGGCCUUAUCGACAUAUCCAGUUUGCAAGUGAACCCUAAAAAAUAGCCCUGUUUGGCCACAUCAUCUCCGGCCAUGUUUAAGCUUCCCCACUACAAAACACAACAAUCCCACCCUUUAAACCUCACAAUAAUCAGCUGAGUCAAGCUUUGAAAGCAAGGAAAUUAGAGAAACAUACCUUUUUCGACCCACAGAGUGAAGAGGGAGUCGGUGCCGGUGAUGCCAGAGCUGAAGUCUCGCUGCGAUUGAGUGCUUGGAUCUCCAGAAAGGGUGAGAAUCGCGACGGAAAAGAAGAAGAUUGGCGUCAAUGGCGCAGCAUCUGGAGCAUU
RNAcentral lists this long non-coding RNA (437 nucleotides) under Coffea arabica (coffee). RNAcentral describes it as "long non-coding RNA (CARA_LNC002611)". Lineage: Eukaryota; Viridiplantae; Streptophyta; Magnoliopsida; Gentianales; Rubiaceae. The record is from RNAcentral.